CGACGGCCGCAGGGCUGCAGAGCGAGUCGUUCCGCUUCGGUUGGAGGACGCCAGGGAGGCUAAGCCGGUUGCUAAUAGGCCAUUCAUUGGAGCAAGUGUGAUCAGUGGUGUAGAAGUCUGGCAAGGACAGUCAUCUUCUCUCUGCCAUUCAUUGGAGUCAGUGAUAAGGACAGUCAUCUUCC
Molecule: long non-coding RNA, 182 nt
Organism: Thamnophis elegans (Western terrestrial garter snake)
Lineage: Eukaryota; Metazoa; Chordata; Lepidosauria; Squamata; Natricidae
Exons: 3
Source: RefSeq, a predicted model, not a curated record